This 464-nucleotide ribosomal RNA is filed under the name Vreelandella stevensii. RNAcentral's name for it is "partial 16S ribosomal RNA". It matches the Rfam family "Bacterial small subunit ribosomal RNA", at positions 338 to 795 of the family's 1533-position model. The record is from RNAcentral. Lineage: Bacteria; Pseudomonadati; Pseudomonadota; Gammaproteobacteria; Oceanospirillales; Halomonadaceae.
CCUACGGGGGCUGCAGUGGGGAAUAUUGGACAAUGGGGGGAACCCUGAUCCAGCCAUGCCGCGUGUGUGAAGAAGGCCCUCGGGUUGUAAAGCACUUUCAGUGAGGAAGAACGCCUGGUGGUUAAUACCCAUCAGGAAAGACAUCACUCACAGAAGAAGCACCGGCUAACUCCGUGCCAGCAGCCGCGGUAAUACGGAGGGUGCGAGCGUUAAUCGGAAUUACUGGGCGUAAAGCGCGCGUAGGUGGCUUGAUAAGCCGGUUGUGAAAGCCCCGGGCUCAACCUGGGAACGGCAUCCGGAACUGUCAAGCUAGAGUGCAGGAGAGGAAGGUAGAAUUCCCGGUGUAGCGGUGAAAUGCGUAGAGAUCGGGAGGAAUACCAGUGGCGAAGGCGGCCUUCUGGACUGACACUGACACUGAGGUGCGAAAGCGUGGGUAGCAAACAGGAUUAGAUACCCGGGUAGUC